Molecule: ribosomal RNA, 321 nt
Filed under: uncultured eukaryote
Lineage: Eukaryota
Description: partial 18S ribosomal RNA
Rfam family: Eukaryotic small subunit ribosomal RNA
Source: RNAcentral
CCCUUAGAUGUCCUGGGCCGCACGCGCGCUACACUGACAUGUUCAACAAGCCUCCUAGUUCGACAGGAUUUGGGAAAUCUUUGAACGCAUGUCGUGAUAGGGAUAGAUCGUUGCAAUUAUUGAUCUUGAACGAGGAAUUCCUAGUAAACGCGAGUCAUCAGCUCGCAUUGAUUACGUCCCUGCCCUUUGUACACACCGCCCGUCGCACCUACCGAUUGAAUGUUUCGGUGAAGAUUCCGGAUAGGACUUUUUUGAUUUAUUUCAAUUUUGUCUUAAAAGCUAUCUAAACCUCAACAUUUAGAGGAAGGUGAAGUCGUAACA